This is a long non-coding RNA of Gorilla gorilla gorilla (western lowland gorilla), 2148 nucleotides long. RefSeq lists it as uncharacterized. The record is from RefSeq and is a predicted model, not a curated record. The transcript is spliced from 6 exons. Lineage: Eukaryota; Metazoa; Chordata; Mammalia; Primates; Hominidae.
CGGACACCAGCCGCGCGCCCUCGCCGGGCGCCGGGACCGGAAAAUCACCGCGAAGGGAGGGACGAGGAAAGGCGGCGGGUGGCUUCAGGACAAGACGGGGUUUCGCUGUGUUGGCUGGGCUGGUCUCCAGCUCCUAACCGCGAGUGAUCCGCCAGCCUCGGCCUCCCGAGGUGCCGGGAUUGCAGACGGAGUCUCGUUCACUCAGUGCUCAAUGGUGCCCAGGCUGGAGUGCAGUGGCGUGAUCUCGGCUGGCUACAACCUCCACCUCCCAGCCGCCUGCCUUGGCCUCCCAAAGUGCCGAGAGUGCAGCCUCUGCCCGGCCGCCACCCCGUCUAGGAAGUGAGGAGCAUCUCUGCCUGGCUGCCCAUCGUCUGAGAUGUGGGGAGCGCCUCUGCCCCACCGCCCCGUCUGGGAUGUGAGGAGCGCCUCUGCCCGGCCGCGACCCCAUCUGGGAGGUGAGGAGCGUCUCUGCCCGGCCGCCCCGUCUGAGAAGUGAGGAGACUCUCCGCCCAGCAACCGCCCCGUCUGAGAGGUGAGGAGCACCUCCGCCCGGCAGCCGCCCCGUCCGAGAAGACUUUGUGAUUACAUUGGGCCCAUCCAGAUCAUCCAGGAUCAUCUUCCCAUCUCAAGAUUCUUCACUUAAUCACAUCUGCAAAAUUCCUUUUGCUGUGUAAGCUGUGAGAUAUCGGUGGGCGAGGAUGUGAUGCCUGAAGAUGUGGCAUCUACCUUGAAACAGUCAAGGACCUGAGGAUGAAGCCAGCAUCUGAGGAAGACAGACAGAAAGGAUCUGGAUACAUCAUGAGCCUGAAAAGUAUCUUGCAUACACAACUGGCAGCACAGAAUCCUGACAAACCUCUCAUCAGAAAUCAACCACAGACUCUUUAUGCUCUUACCAAAAUGCUGGCUUUGAGAACUAAUUAUGAAUGAAAAUUACUGAUGUGAUUUUCAGUCUAGGGAAGAAUAUCAAGUUAAACUUUAUGAAGUCCAAGACAAUGGGAAAAGAAGAGGUGUUCCUGUCCAGGCCCUCUUCCAGUUAGAAGGUGAUGGUUUCCAGAAGUCUGCACCUGUAUUUCAAUUACCUAUAAUGGAGUUUAUAGGACUAAACUAUACUCACUAUAUUUUCUUAUUUUUGUGUGUGUGUUUGAUGUGCUGGCAACGGGGGACUUGGUAACUGGGGAGGGAUAGCUCUUCUCAGGAAGAGCUAAUUCUUAGAGAUAGAGGGAGCAUGCUUUUCAUAUGCAAACUACUCAAACUGGAGUCCACACUUCCCCAACCUCCUCUAUAGGACUCUUACUCUCCUGCCCGAUAUUCCCCUGCUCUAAUCAUCUUGGGGCCAGGUACCAGGCAACUCAGGACGGCCACUACACCUCCAGAGCCCACUGACAUUAUUAAAACUAGACAAUUCUAAGCUGCUUGCCCUACCUUGACCUUAUUCCUUUUGUUGCAAAACGCAAUAAAGGGUCUUGCCACAUUUUCCUUCUGCUCCCUCUGCCUCCGGACUGACCCUGGUGCUUUCCUUUGUGGGCCUUCGUGGCUUACCUCCUGUUUCUAGGAACCUGCAAGUGUAAAAACUUCUUUCUUCAUGACAGUCAUUUCCAUGUCUGCGUGCCUUACUAUACCUGAUUUAAACAAAUCCUGAGCACAUUUUAAAACAUAAAUUCAACAUCUGGACCUGCUAUGCAGAGCAAUUCAGGCGGAGGGAAUGGCUCAUGCACACUCUCCAAGUACUGUUAGGUAUGAGUUCUAAAUUUCUCUUCGAAGAAUCAAUAUGUCAGUAUGUUCAGUUCUUUGCCUUCUACUGUUAAACUUAACUUCCUCGUAAAGCAACCUUUUUCCAUUAUCUGCUCCACCCUGACUCAUUCCGAUUACCUGCUCAUUCUCCACCCUGGCUUACUCUGAUUUCCUGCUCUGCCCGUAACCAUUUUUCCCGCCAAACCACUCACCCUGUCACUCUCUUUAAAUUAGCCAAUUGGAAUUAGUUUAGCCUGUGCAGUCUAACCCAAGCCAAUAGGGGAACGAUACAGCAGCAGGGACCACGUGCCUCAGGGAUAAGAACCCCUUCCCCUCCCUUGUCCAAGUGUGCGCUCACCAUUGCUCCAUCUGUAAGGGUGCACCCUUCUAUAGAAGUACGUUGUCUUGCUGAGAAUU